This 406-nucleotide ribosomal RNA is filed under the name uncultured bacterium. RNAcentral's name for it is "bacterial SSU rRNA". It matches the Rfam family "Bacterial small subunit ribosomal RNA", at positions 11 to 429 of the family's 1533-position model. The record is from RNAcentral.
GUUUGAUCCUGGCUCAGAAUCAACGCUGGCGGCGUGCCUAACACAUGCAAGUCGCACGAGAAAGCGGGAGCAAUCCUGUGAGUAAAGUGGCGUACGGGUGAGUAACACGUGAAUCAUCUACCUUCGAGUGUGGAAUAACUGAGAGAAAUCUUAGCUAAUACCUCAUAACACCUACGGGUCAAAGCAGCAAUGCGCUUGAAGAGGAGUUCGCGGCAGAUUAGUUAGUUGGCGGGGUAAUGGCCCACCAAGACGAUGAUCUGUAUCCGGCCUGAGAGGGCGCACGGACACACUGGAACUGAAACACGGUCCAGACUCCCACGGGAGGCAGCAGUGGGGAAUUUUGCGCAAUGGGGGAAACCCUGACGCAGCAACGCCGCGUGGAGGAUGAAAUCCCUUGGGAUGUAAA